This 995-nucleotide long non-coding RNA is filed under the name Homo sapiens (human). Its description in RNAcentral is "HSALNT0114627". Lineage: Eukaryota; Metazoa; Chordata; Mammalia; Primates; Hominidae. The record is from RNAcentral.
UCCUACAUUUAUUUAAUCCUGGAAUUUAUUUUCUCAAGAAAUACAAAGAUAAUUCUGAGAAAAAUAUUUGAGGGAUACUGCUUUUGAUAAUGAAAACAGUUUAGAAUACAGAAGUGACGUAUUCAACCCUGAACUCAAGGAAGAUAAAUUUGGCAGCAGUGUGUAGGUUGGAACUCAUAGCCACGAUAACUUUCCUUUCCUUGGGUUGUAAUUCCAUCGCUGAAAGCGAAUACCUUUGUGAAUGGAAAUUCUUUGUUCUCAGCUCUGAUUCUUUCCACCUCUCUUAGACUAGCAAAUUAAAGAUAUUACAAAGAAAGGAGACAUUAAUUAUAUUGCACAAAUUAGUUAUGAAGCUAUGUACAGCUCAUUCUUUUUCAGGACAAGAGCAAGAAGAAAACCAAUACAUUUUGUUCCUUAAUUUUAUUAAUGUCUGGAAGAUGUGUACUGAUGAGGCAUCAGUACUGAAUGAUCUGGCAGCCAACAGUUGAUCUGCUUUGGAGAGAUGACAAUUUGUUCUUAACUGGCUUUUCAUUUCACGUCGCACAUUUCUUCAGCUCUCUCUGUCCUGCAUCUUCUUUAUGUGUGAUACACACAUGUGCUCUAUCACGCCUGCCCACUCAACCCUGAAAUACCGAAACCUGGAGCUGGGGAAGUGCUGGUAGGAAACCAAGACAUUGAAGAGUCCAUCUCAUCUCUCACACUACACAAAGGGUCUGGUACAAAUGGCUCUUUGAAGCGCUAUCUGUGAUCUGUGUUAGCUCAGAAUCCUUCCUAGUCGUUAGCUCAGAAUCCUUCCUCGUCGUUAGCUCAGAAUCCUUCCUCGUCUCCACUUCCUUCAUUUCCUAGCCACUGUUCUCAGUUGUUAUCUUGUCCUCUAGGCGUCCCUCUUAUCACUCUGUCCUCCUACUUCAGUGAACCUUAUCCUUGCUUCCUCCAUGUCUCCUCUAAAAACAGUGGCCUUUAAAGCAGAAGUGUCUUCGUAACAUUACAAACGA